GGGCCUAUAGCUCAGUUGGUUAGAGCAGCGGACUCAUAAUCCGUUGGUCCCCUGUUCAAGUCAGGGUGGGCCCACCA
RNAcentral lists this transfer RNA (77 nucleotides) under Acinetobacter sp. ANC 4470. Its description in RNAcentral is "tRNA-Met". It matches the Rfam family "tRNA". Rfam says of the family: Transfer RNA (tRNA) molecules are approximately 80 nucleotides in length. Lineage: Bacteria; Pseudomonadati; Pseudomonadota; Gammaproteobacteria; Moraxellales; Moraxellaceae. The record is from RNAcentral.